Molecule: long non-coding RNA, 411 nt
Organism: Centruroides sculpturatus (bark scorpion)
Lineage: Eukaryota; Metazoa; Arthropoda; Arachnida; Scorpiones; Buthidae
Exons: 3
Source: RefSeq, a predicted model, not a curated record
CUUUAGGAUAGAAACGAUGUUCCGCCAACGUUUACAAGUGUUCCUCUACCAAUUAGACUACAAGAUACCGUUCCAUUAGGUACCGUUGUUACAACAGUAGUUGCUACUGAUGCAGAUGGAACUCCUCCCGGAAAUCAAGUUAGAUACGAGUUAAGUGGCAGAGAUAAGGCUCCGUACUACUUUUUAAUUGAUGGUAACAGUGGUGUCGUUUCUGUGAAAGACGAUCUUCGAAAGGAACCAGACUCAGAAUAUCGCAUUGAAGUUAGAGCUCGAGAUCUUGGAGAACCUUCUCUUUCUGCUACAGCCACCAUAACUGUUUAUGUGGAACAUAUCGUUACAAUUCCUCCAAAUUCCGGACUCGGUUUUGCUGAUAGUCAUUACACGUGAGUAGAAAGCCUUAAACAAAUUAUU